Molecule: transfer RNA, 115 nt
Filed under: Rhodobacterales bacterium
Lineage: Bacteria; Pseudomonadati; Pseudomonadota; Alphaproteobacteria; Rhodobacterales
Description: tRNA-OTHER
Source: RNAcentral
CGCGGGAUAACAAAGGGUUACAGCGCAACUGCUUGAUUUUAAAGGAAUCUAAUAAAAUCAAUAACAUAGCCUCAUAACCUGAAGGUCGUAGGUUCAAAUCCUACUCCCGCAACCA